Molecule: non-coding RNA, 28 nt
Filed under: Bombyx mori (domestic silkworm)
Lineage: Eukaryota; Metazoa; Arthropoda; Insecta; Lepidoptera; Bombycidae
Source: RNAcentral
UGUUCUGUGUCGCUGUGUGUGUUCGGUC